UACGUAGGGGGCUAGCGUUAUCCGGAUUUACUGGGCGUAAAGGGUGCGUAGGUGGUCUUUCAAGUCGGUGGUUAAAGGCUACGGCUCAACCGUAGUAAGCCUCCGAAACUGUUAGACUUGAGUGCAGGAGAGGAAAGUGGAAUUCCCAGUGUAGCGGUGAAAUGCGUAGAUAUUGGGAGGAACACCAGUAGCGAAGGCGGCUUUCUGGACUGCAACUGACACUGAGGCACGAAAGCGUGGGUAGCAAACAGGAUUAGAUACCCUGGUAGUCCACGCCGUAAACGAUGAGUACUAGGUGUCGGGGGUUACCCCCCUCGGUGCCGCAGCUAACGCAUUAAGUACUCCGCCUGGGGAGUACGCACGCAAGUGUGAA
RNAcentral lists this ribosomal RNA (373 nucleotides) under uncultured bacterium. RNAcentral's name for it is "bacterial SSU rRNA". It matches the Rfam family "Bacterial small subunit ribosomal RNA", at positions 524 to 898 of the family's 1533-position model. The record is from RNAcentral.